GCAGGCUGAAAUUCGCCUGCNUGAAGCCGGAAUUGCUAGUAAUGGCAGGUCAGCAUACUGCCGUGAAUACGUUCCCGGGCCUUGUACACACCGCCCGUCACACCAUGAGAGUUGGGGAUACCCAAAGCCCGUGAGCCAACUUUAAAAGAGGCAGCGGUCUAAGGUAGAAUCAAUGAUUGGGGUGAAGUCGUAACAAGGUAAC
This 202-nucleotide ribosomal RNA is filed under the name uncultured bacterium. RNAcentral describes it as "partial 16S ribosomal RNA". It matches the Rfam family "Bacterial small subunit ribosomal RNA", at positions 1300 to 1500 of the family's 1533-position model. The record is from RNAcentral.